Long non-coding RNA from Rattus norvegicus (Norway rat), 1335 nucleotides. RefSeq lists it as uncharacterized. NCBI's taxonomy places the organism in Eukaryota, Metazoa, Chordata, Mammalia, Rodentia, Muridae. The record is from RefSeq and is a predicted model, not a curated record.
AAUUGGUUUCCCCCUAGGUCCCUGCCUAUCCAGGCUUAGGUUCUUGGUCACCCAGGCAACGUUUGUCAUGGGUUCUAGCUCAUGGAAUGGGCCUUAAGUCAGUGAUUGGUCACUCCCACAAGUUCUGUGUCACUGUCACACCAGCUUAUCUUGCAGACAGGUCAUCACUGUAGAGAAUUCUCAAAAGAGUAAAACUAAAUGACUAAGAAGUGCUUAAAUGGUCACCAUCCUUAGUUGUCAGGAAAUUCAAAUCAAACUUGCGAGCUUUCCUCUUACACGGGCAGGAGUGACCAGGAUCAAUGACACAAGUGACAGCUCGUGCUGCUGAGGAUGCUGCCUACAGGAACUCACCCAUGGCUGGUGGGACUCAAACCUGCACAGCCACUAUGGAAAUCAGUGUGGUAGCUCCUCAGGGAGAUGGCAAUCAACCUCCUACAAGACUGGCUAAAACCACUCUUGGGCAUAUACCUAAAAGAUGCUUCGAGCUACUACACAGACACUAUUCAACUGGUGGGAAUAGCUAAAAAUUGGAAACAAACUUGAUGUCCAUCAAUGAACGAAGAAUGAAUGGUACAUUUACACAACAGAAUAUAACUCUGCUGUUAAAAAAUGCAUUCAUGAAGUCUGCAGGGCUGAGCUGAAAAGCACACACAGCACUGAACCGACUGGUCCACCAUUACCAAGAGAGAACUGCCACUGUAUGAGGUAAAGCCCGAAGGCCUGCUUACAGCCAAGUAUUUCGGGAAUUCUUAUACCAAUGAACUGCUCCUAAGACAAGCAUGUAACUGUGCCUGCGCCUAUGAAGGAGAGUAGAGAAGAACAGCAAGCGUGACGGUGAUCUGUCUUUCGGGCCUCUUAGAAGACAAAACAACAGCAGCGUUCAGCUUUACGGCCAUUCACAAGAAGUACAAGAACGAUCUUCCUCCAAGCGAUACCUGCUGCUUCCUUUAGCAUUUCUGCAGUUUUGCUGCCUUUGGUCUUUAGAAGUUAAGGCUAGCGCAUGAAGCAUGCUCUCAGAGUCCAGACCAUGGCAGCCUGAUAAUGGCCCCCAUUUAACAAGGUAACAAGGCUUCCAGAUGAAUAUAGGUUCAAGGGGCAACUAGUUUUCCUUAGAAGUGCACAAAGUAGAUCCUUCCCGCUGUGAAAAGCCUUACCUACAUGUUAAAAAUAUGAACACUUCAGAACAAGAGUUAAUGCAGAUAAAUGGGCCCCGAUUUAAUGAAACACAGUGGCCAGAAACCUGCUGAUCUUGCUUCCCUCCAAAACUUGCUGCUCUCAGCUCUGGCCCCAAAGAUGGCCAAUAUUUUACAUUACGAUAAAAUAAUGCAAAGAUUA